UAGGGAAUAUUGGACAAUGGGCGAGAGCCUGAUCCAGCCAUGCCGCGUGCAGGAAGAAGGCCUUCUGGGUUGUAAACUGCUUUUGCCGGGGGAUAAAAUACCCAUGCGUGGGGAAUUGAAGGUACCCGGUGAAUAAGCCACGGCUAACUACGUGCCGGCAGCCGCGGUAAUACGUAGGUGGCGAGCGUUGUCCGGAUUUAUUGGGUUUAAAGGGUGCGUAGGCGGCCCCGUUAGUCAGCGGUGAAAUACGGCAGCUUAACUGUCGAGGUGCCGUUGAUACUGCGGGGCUUGAGUGCGGUCGAGGAGGGCGGAAUUGACGGUGUAGCGGUGAAAUGCUUAGAUAUCGUCAAGAACACCGAUAGCGAAGGCAGCCCUCCAGGCCGCA
This 385-nucleotide ribosomal RNA is filed under the name uncultured bacterium. Its description in RNAcentral is "bacterial SSU rRNA". It matches the Rfam family "Bacterial small subunit ribosomal RNA", at positions 355 to 738 of the family's 1533-position model. The record is from RNAcentral.